UAUAAUACAUACUUAGGUGGUUGCAAACAGCAAUAGGCAAGGUUUUAGUACAUGGACACCAGUGUCUGCCAUAAAGAAUUCUGAUAACAAAUGUUAUGGUGGGGUAAAGGCGAUGGAAACCCCCUCCACUUAAAAUUAAGGUGGUAACAGAGACAUUAUGAAACACUAAUCUACAUCCACCGGACAAGCCAGGAGACUUGUUUUUCCCUCAGCAACUGCAAGGGAUUCUGGAUAGAAGUGUGCAAACAGGUUAACAAUGAUCACUUUUGCCACUAUAUUCACUUUGUAUAAAAGAUUUAAUGUAUUUGUCACUCAGAUAAAUUGCUAAACUGAGGUAGAUCGCAAAGAUACAGCGAUCUCUUCCGGUCCAACAAUGUGUUCUCCAUUAAUUGAUGUCAUUCCUGGGCGCACAGUGUCAGCGAGGGAGAUACAAGCUCCGAGGAACGUGCAGGAGGUAAGUAGUGGCUGUUGCUAUUGGGGGAGGGGAGAGAGAGGAGUAAAAUAUUAAGAUGGAAUCUAGAGGCACAAUAAAACUUAGUGAUAGUCAAGCAAAAGAAAAGAGCACAGCAAGAGGAUAUAAAAAAGGAGAGGGGGUCA
Long non-coding RNA from Spea bombifrons (plains spadefoot toad), 597 nucleotides. RefSeq lists it as uncharacterized. Lineage: Eukaryota; Metazoa; Chordata; Amphibia; Anura; Pelobatidae. The transcript has 2 exons. The record is from RefSeq and is a predicted model, not a curated record.